RNAcentral lists this ribosomal RNA (460 nucleotides) under uncultured bacterium. RNAcentral's name for it is "partial 16S ribosomal RNA". It matches the Rfam family "Bacterial small subunit ribosomal RNA", at positions 338 to 795 of the family's 1533-position model. The record is from RNAcentral.
CCUACGGGAGGCAGCAGUGAGGAAUAUUGGUCAAUGGACGAGAGUCUGAACCAGCCAAGUAGCGUGAAGGAUGACUGCCCUCUGGGUUGUAAACUUCUUUUAUAUGGGAAUAAAAUGUUCCACGUGUGGGAUUUUGUAUGUACCAUAUGAAUAAGGAUCGGCUAACUCCGUGCCAGCAGCCGCGGUAAUACGGAGGAUCCGAGCGUUAUCCGGAUUUAUUGGGUUUAAAGGGAGCGUAGGCGGAUUGUUAAGUCAGUUGUGAAAGUUUGCGGCUCAACCGUAAAACUGCAGUUGAAACUGGCAGUCUUGAGUACAGUAGAGGUAGGCGGAAUUCGUGGUGUAGCGGUGAAAUGCUUAGAUAUCACGAAGAACUCCGAUUGCGAAGGCAGCUCACUGGACUGCAACUGACACUGAGGCUCGAAAGUGUGGGUAGCAAACAGGAUUAGAUACCCGUGUGGUC